GAUGAACGCUGGCGGCGUGCUUAACACAUGCAAGUCGAACGGAGUUGUUUCGCUGACGAGACUUCGGUCAAAUCUUGAAACAACUUAGUGGCGGACGGGUGAGUAACGCGUGGGUAACCUGCCAUAUACAGGGGGAUAACACUUAGAAAUAGGUGCUAAUACCGCAUAAGCGCACAGAGCUGCAUGGCUCGGUGUGAAAAACUCCGGUGGUAUAUGAUGGACCCGCGUCUGAUUAGCUAGUUGGUGAGGUAACGGCCCACCAAGGCGACGAUCAGUAGCCGGCCUGAGAGGGUGACCGGCCACAUUGGGACUGAGACACGGCCCAAACUCCUACGGGAGGCAGCAGUGGGGAAUAUUGCACAAUGGGGGAAACCCUGAUGCAGCGACGCCGCGUGAGUGAAGAAGUAUUUCGGUAUGUAAAGCUCUAUCAGCAGGGAAGAAAAUGACGGUACCUGACUAAGAAGCCCCGGCUAACUACGUGCCAGCAGCCG
RNAcentral lists this ribosomal RNA (491 nucleotides) under uncultured bacterium. RNAcentral describes it as "bacterial SSU rRNA". It matches the Rfam family "Bacterial small subunit ribosomal RNA", at positions 28 to 517 of the family's 1533-position model. The record is from RNAcentral.